UCAAUUCCUUAUACAUUUUGAAAAAUAGUAUUUUAUAGAUCAGAUUUUUCCAAAGCUUUAACUAUAUAUGCAUAUACUUUUCUGUCUUAAGAACUCCUUUUCUGAGGGCUGAAACUUUCCUAUUGAGUCCUCUUACUUUUCAUCUGUAAGUGGUGAAAAUCUGUUCUUUCUUAAACAGUAAUGAGGGGUAUUAUUCAUUUGAUUUAGAUACAAAUGCUGCAACAAAAACACAAGUAUGAAAUCACUACUACUAGAUUUAUGGCUCUAACGUACAGUUGGAUGGACAUAUUCCACACAUGGAAGUAGACCCAUUCCGAAAGAACCCCAAAUACAUGCAAGGAUUUUAAUCAAUUGUGCCUGAAUUUAGGCCUACAAGCACUUCAGCCUUUUAACGCCACUCAUGCUACGAAUGGACCAUAUAGAGGAUUUGUUUUUAUUUAUUUAUUCAAGACCAUUUUUAAUUUAUUGUAAUAAAUGUUAGAUUUUUUUAUUAUGAAGUAAUAUAAAUUUUAUUUAAUAUUCAA
Magnolia sinica is the source of this 524-nucleotide long non-coding RNA. RefSeq lists it as uncharacterized. Lineage: Eukaryota; Viridiplantae; Streptophyta; Magnoliopsida; Magnoliales; Magnoliaceae. The record is from RefSeq and is a predicted model, not a curated record. The transcript is spliced from 2 exons.